AUUGAACGCUAGCGGCAUGCUUAACACAUGCAAGUCGAACGGUAGCAGGUCUAGCUUGCUAGAUGCUGACGAGUGGCGGACGGGUGAGUAACGCGUAGGAAUUUACCUUGUAGUGGGGGAUAACUUGGGGAAACCCAAGCUAAUACCGCAUAAGCCCUAAGGGGGAAAGCGUGGGACCGAAAGGCCACGUGCUAUGAGGUGAGCCUGCGUCGGAUUAGCUAGUUGGUAGGGUAAAGGCCUACCAAGGCGUAGAUCCGUAGCUGGUCUGAGAGGACGACCAGCCACACUGGGACUGAGACACGGCCCAGACUCCUACGGGAGGCAGCAGUGGGGAAUAUUGGACAAUGGGCGAAAGCCUGAUCCAGCCAUGCCGCGUGUGUGAAGAAGGUCUUCGGAUUGUAAAGCACUUUAAGUUGAGAGGAAGGGUAUUCACCUAAUACGUGGGUACUUUGACGUUACCAACAGAAUAAGCACCGGCUAACUCUGUGCCAGCCGCCGCCGUAA
RNAcentral lists this ribosomal RNA (504 nucleotides) under uncultured bacterium. RNAcentral's name for it is "partial 16S ribosomal RNA". It matches the Rfam family "Bacterial small subunit ribosomal RNA", at positions 30 to 523 of the family's 1533-position model. The record is from RNAcentral.